GCGUUUUUUUAACUUUCAGUCUCCGUGUCGAUCUCUUUUCUAUUAUCUACAUGUAAUGAGAUUUUUGAAAGUAUAGAAGUACAGUCUAUGGUGCGAAGCUAAGUUGAAAACAUUAAAUCCUUUAGUGCAUCAUCAAUUCUUCUGCCGAUCAGUACACGUCGCUGUUAGAAAUUUAAAAGAUAUAUGUGUUCCAAAGUAUUUUGGAAAUUAGGAAAUGAAGAGAAAACACUAAGUGAAAAUACGACACUGGAACCAAUGUUUACUAUCGAUGUGAUAAUUUAUAUCAACUGAUGUAUUACAAGUGUCAGAACAAAAAUGUCUCUAUUUUAACUCACCGUAAGUUAUUAAUUUUGAAAUACAUUGAUUGCGCGUUCCAUUUCAUCAAAAUAAUAUUUCAGCUCUUUAAUUUUUUUAUUAUUCUUCCGAUUUUUAUUUUGGUUUCUCGCAACUUGCUUUGGAAAACGUAUCGCAUAGCAAUGAGUAAUAUGUACCAAGUAAUUGGACAUCUCUUUUGCUCCCGCAGAAUUCAUGGUAGCCUACCAACGAAAUCAGCUGCUUUUUCGUACUGUUUUUGUUGCAUUUAUUUUUUGCCAUUUACUUACUUGGGUGUAAUGUUGUCAUCGAUAAGAUUGCAUACAUAUCUUUGCAUAAAUAUUUGGCAUGGUAUAAAAUAAUGAGACUCAAUUAUUUUAAUUCUGAAUAUUUCAAUUUAUUUACAGCGUUAUAAAGAAAUAGAAAAAAUAAAAUUUUUGCAAGCUCAUCUAAUAUAAACUCUUUUAACUCUGAGUUACUAACUUUCUGUAGACACUAAGCACACAUAAACCUUGAAAAGGAAAAUAUAAUAUACAUAUUUAUUGUAGUGGUUAUC
Anastrepha ludens (Mexican fruit fly) is the source of this 868-nucleotide long non-coding RNA. RefSeq lists it as uncharacterized. Lineage: Eukaryota; Metazoa; Arthropoda; Insecta; Diptera; Tephritidae. The record is from RefSeq and is a predicted model, not a curated record. The transcript is spliced from 3 exons.